Long non-coding RNA from Tupaia belangeri chinensis (Chinese tree shrew), 1144 nucleotides. RefSeq lists it as uncharacterized. The record is from RefSeq and is a predicted model, not a curated record. The transcript is spliced from 4 exons. NCBI's taxonomy places the organism in Eukaryota, Metazoa, Chordata, Mammalia, Scandentia, Tupaiidae.
GCUUCGCGCCUGGGGAGUACGGGGGGUCUCCCAACCGCUCUCUUGCUCACUCACUCAUUCAUUCAGUCGUUACGCAUGGACUGUUUCCUUCGUACCUAUCCCUUCCCGCUCCCUCUGCACGACCAGCGACCCUGCAGCACUCUGUAACGAGGUUGCCAGAGGAUGCAGCUCUAGGCAAGGUCCCCGACCCCUGCCGGUUCCAAACGCUCCGCGAUUCUUCCCAGAGAGAGGUGCGCCUUUCCUCCUGUGCUCUCUCCGCCUCGUCCUCCAGGUCAGUUUUGGAGGAAGCGACACCUCGGCAGUACUGACGUCAAACAGGCCAACGUGGGCGUAGCUCUCCGUUUGUUCAGGCCUUCUCUAACCCCCUCACUAACGGCGUGGAGUUUUUGCUGUAGAGGACACGCACGCCUUUGGUUAAAGGAGGCGGUAUGGCCAAAGCUCUUGGAACUGAAUCGUCCCCACCACUUCGUAACUCAGGGGCCCCCUCAAAUAGGCUUCACGCUCUCUCCAGGUACUGGACUGCAGGAAGAGGACUGACCGCAGUGACUCUCCCGGGAAGGCUGCCUGCACUGUCACACCUCGGCAGUGGUUCUCACAGACCGUCAGCAGCUGGACACAGGAUGGCCAAAUGUCGCCUUCACGAGCAUACUGCCCUAUGACAAAAACCUAAACAAGGAAAAAGAAAUGUGCCAACUCUACUGAAGGGAGAAAGCUUAAAUUAAUGGAGACUAAAUUAGUUAAUUAAUUAAAUCAAAGUCCUGAAUGGGAAGAUUACAGAAAGGUUCAACUGACUCCCAAAUUAAAGCAAAGUCAAUUAAAAUCCUAAUAGGUCUUUGUAGACAAAUAGAAAAACUAUUCUAACAUGUGUCUUGAGAAGCAAAUACAUCACCAUGGCCAAAGACUUUAAAGGAAAAGAGUGAUUAUGACUAACGAUUUCAACAUAAUAGAAAUAACAGUGCUAGAAGAGAACACUGGUGAAUUUAUAAAGAUUAAAGUGGGGAUUUUCUAAGUGUAUAGGGAGGAAAUUUGAUAUAUAAGUAUAUAAAGGUUUUGGUUCAGGUGCAUGUGCUUGUGAGAGAGAGGGGAUGAGAAAUCACUCCCAAGGGGAUGGUCAUGCUGCAAUCCCUUCUCCACUCUCUUCUCG